RNAcentral lists this ribosomal RNA (449 nucleotides) under uncultured bacterium. RNAcentral's name for it is "bacterial SSU rRNA". It matches the Rfam family "Bacterial small subunit ribosomal RNA", at positions 29 to 525 of the family's 1533-position model. The record is from RNAcentral.
AACGAACGCUGGCGGCAGGCCUAACACAUGCAAGUCGAACGCACCUUCGGGUGAGUGGCAGACGGGUGAGUAACACGUGGGAACCUUCCCUUCGGUACGGAAUAGCUCCGGGAAACUGGAAUUAAUGCCGUAUACGCCCUUUGGGGGAAAGAUUUAUCGCCGAAGGAUGGGCCCGCGUCGGAUUAGCUAGUUGGUGGGGUAAUGGCCCACCAAGGCAACGAUCCGUAGCUGGUCUUAGAGGAUGAUCAGCCACACUGGGACUGAGACACGGCCCAGACUCCUACGGGAGGCAGCAGUGGGGAAUAUUGGACAAUGGGCGAAAGCCUGAUCCAGCCAUGCCGCGUGAGUGACGAAGGCCUUAGGGUUGUAAAACUCUUUUGGCGGGGACGAUAAUGACGGUACCCGCAGAAUAAGCCCCGGCUAACUUCGUGCCAGCCGCCGCGGUAAUU